Molecule: long non-coding RNA, 1399 nt
Organism: Rhea pennata
Lineage: Eukaryota; Metazoa; Chordata; Aves; Rheiformes; Rheidae
Exons: 3
Source: RefSeq, a predicted model, not a curated record
UACCCAUACCAAAUUUAGUCGGUAUGCAGUUACUGUCCACGUACCUCUAAAGGAAGUAUCGCCCUUUAGAAAUAAACCUUUGUGUCUUGGCUUAUCUGUGGGAAAACAUUUUAAUAUUUGUUACCAAACUUGUGACUUUACUAUAAUUAUCAGUAAGGGGCCUGGAAAUAGCACAAACAAGCAGUUCAUGACGCUAUGUCAAAAAUAAAUGGGUUCAAAUAAUAAGUGGAAAACAGAUCCCAAGUGAGACUGAUUACAGUCAUACAAUUUCUUCCUCUUAACAGUUCGCAUUAUUUUUAAGAGCUAUCUGUUCCUGAGUGGAAAAGAUCAUUUGUUUUAACUGGAAUGAAAUACAAGAUUAAGGGGAGGGAAGCAUCAGAGCUAUCCUGAAUGCAUCUGGGUAUGAUGUGUCUGACAGCAACUGCUCCGAGGAAGAUUAUUACUGCAGCACGCGAUCUUUAGGAAAGAAGUCCUGUCUGGAAAGAAAUAGGCAAAAUCCUGGAAGAGAUGUUCAAAACACUUGCAAUUUUUCAUGGAAAUAGUAUCUUCCAAGAACCCUUGGUGCGGCAGCAGACAUAAAGAAGAGCUUGUCAAUGAGUCUCGCUUCUGCCCCCCAGCAGAAAAGAAAGAAUGUGGGGAAGAGUAAUACCACCCUGCAGGAGUGUGUGCUUUCAGGAUGCCUAAGAUGACUUAAAUGGUCUGCCAUGAGAUUGCCUGACAUCUCUCUUGCAACAGAGAUGAUUGCUGAUGAUCCAGGCCAGAGUUAAGCCAGUCAAAAGUUACAGCUGCAACCUGCUGUUGGAGGUAACAGCUCUGGAAAGGGACAAUCCUGCAUUUCCCCAGCUGCCAAUUCCCACCAUUGCUCUCAUUUCAGACCUAGCAAUUGCUGGGCUGCUGAAGGAGCCAAUUCAAUGGGCUAAUCCAGCCUUUUUUCCCUCCCCCUCACUGGCUUAUUUUUCUACUGGAUGAUUUAGUUGAAUCCCCCUGCACCUCCAGGACUGCUAUUUCUGAUGUAUAAAGGAUGUUGAGAGGAGAAUGAGGGCAGACCCAGGCCAGACCGGUGGAAGCAGCUCCAAAACUGAAUCGACAGACACUUGGCUCACAGGGGAUGCUCAGUAGCAUGGCUGCCCCCAAGAGCGCCGUCCUUCCUUCUGCCCGCUUGCAUCCUGCUCCAUCUCUCCCCAUCACCUCCUGUGCUGCGCAGCUGCUAAGAAGGAGUGGAUGGACAAAACCCAACCAAGCCUGUCUCUGUAGCAGGUCCAGUGCUGGCAGUGGCCCCUGCUCACCUGUGGCACUCUGCUACUACCAGAAGCAGCAAGACUUGUCAAGUGCUGUGGUUUACAUGACAAAACAGAGUUUGUUCCAGAUGUUGAUUUUUUUAAUUAAUAAGAUUUAUUCA